This 303-nucleotide ribosomal RNA is filed under the name uncultured bacterium. RNAcentral describes it as "partial 16S ribosomal RNA". It matches the Rfam family "Bacterial small subunit ribosomal RNA", at positions 507 to 807 of the family's 1533-position model. The record is from RNAcentral.
AGCAGUCGCCGCGGGAAUACGGAGGGUGCAAGCGUUAUCCGGAUUUAUUGGGUUUAAAGGGUCCGUAGGCGGAUCUGUAAGUCAGUGGUGAAAUCUCACAGCUUAACUGUGAAACUGCCAUUGAUACUGCAGGUCUUGAGUAAAUUUGAAGUGGCUGGAAUAAGUAGUGUAGCGGUGAAAUGCAUAGAUAUUACUUAGAACACCAAUUGCGAAGGCAGGUCACUAAGAUUUAACUGACGCUGAUGGACGAAAGCGUGGGGAGCGAACAGGAUUAGAUACCCCAGUAGUCCCUGUCUCUUAUAC